UGCGCAGGCGGUUUUUUAAGACAGGCGUGAAAUCCCCGGGCUUAACCUGGGAACUGCGCUUGUGACUGGAAGGCUAGAGUACGGCAGAGGGGGGUGGAAUUCCACGUGUAGCAGUGAAAUGCGUAGAGAUGUGGAGGAACACCGAUGGCGAAGGCAGCCCCCUGGGCCGAUACUGACGCUCAUGCACGAAAGCGUGGGGAGCAAACA
RNAcentral lists this ribosomal RNA (207 nucleotides) under uncultured bacterium. Its description in RNAcentral is "partial 16S ribosomal RNA". It matches the Rfam family "Bacterial small subunit ribosomal RNA", at positions 568 to 774 of the family's 1533-position model. The record is from RNAcentral.